Molecule: ribosomal RNA, 250 nt
Filed under: uncultured bacterium
Lineage: Bacteria
Description: partial 16S ribosomal RNA
Rfam family: Bacterial small subunit ribosomal RNA
Source: RNAcentral
UACGUAGGCAGCGAGCGUUGUUCGGAGUUACUGGGCGUAAAGAGUGUGUAGGCGGUUCGCCAAGUUCGGUGUGAAAUCUCCCGGCUCAACUGGGAGGGUGCGCCGAAUACUGGCGGGCUUGAGUGCGGGAGAGGAAAGCGGAAUUCCUGGUGUAGCGGUGAAAUGCGUAGAUAUCAGGAGGAACACCUGCGGUGUAGACAGCUUUCUGGACCGCGACUGACGCUGAGACACGAAAGCGUGGGGAGCAAAC